Molecule: ribosomal RNA, 274 nt
Filed under: uncultured bacterium
Lineage: Bacteria
Description: partial 16S ribosomal RNA
Rfam family: Bacterial small subunit ribosomal RNA
Source: RNAcentral
AUACGUAGGUGGCAAGCGUUGUCCGGAUUUACUGGGCGUAAAGGGAGCGCAGGUGGCUCAUCAAGUCUAGGGUGAAAUAUCCCGGCUCAACCGGGAGGAGUCUCUAGAUACUGAUGGGCUUGAGGAAAGCAGAGGAAAGCGGAAUUCUCGGUGUAGCGGUGAUAUGCGUAGAUAUCGAGAGGAACACCAGUGGCGAAGGCGGCUUUCUGGGCUUUUCCUGACGCUGAGGCUCGAAAGCGUGGGGAGCAAACCGGAUUAGAAACCCGAGUAGUCC